This 779-nucleotide ribosomal RNA is filed under the name uncultured Neocallimastigales. Its description in RNAcentral is "partial large subunit ribosomal RNA". It matches the Rfam family "Eukaryotic large subunit ribosomal RNA", at positions 22 to 643 of the family's 3401-position model. The record is from RNAcentral. Lineage: Eukaryota; Fungi; Neocallimastigomycota; Neocallimastigomycetes; Neocallimastigales.
AGAGAGAGACAUGCGCUCAUAUCAAUAAGCGGAGGAAAAGAAACUAACUAGGAUUCCCUCAGUAACGGCGAGUGAAGCGGGAAGAGCUCAAAUUUGAAAUCUUCAAGGUUCUACCUUGACGAAUUGUAGUUUAAAGAAGUGUUUUCUGUUGAAGUUUUGGUAAAAGUUCUUUGGAAUAGGACAUCAUAGAGGGUGAGAAUCCCGUAUUUGACCAUUAUUUUCCAGCUGUGUGAUACACUUUCAAAGAGUCGGAUUGUUUGGGAAUGCAGUCCAAAAUGGGUGGUAAAUUUCAUCUAAAGCUAAAUAUUGGCGAGAGACCGAUAGCGAACAAGUACCGUGAGGGAAAGAUGAAAAGAACUUUGAAAAGAGAGUUAAACAGUACGUGAAAUUGUCAAAAGGGAAGCGUUUGACACCAGUGUUGUUUUCUCGAAAAUCAAUUAAAAAGAGUCAGAUUUUGUGUUGUAUUGACCUUUAAUCAGCAUUCUGCACUUCAAUUUUCUUGUCUUUUUUAAUGCACUUUUCGUUUAACAAGUCAACAUCAGUUUCUUUUGUUGUAAAAGGUCAUUGGAAGGUGGCUUUCUUUUCGGAGAAAGUGUUUAUAGCCUUUGCCUCUGCAAUCGGAGAGAUUGAGGUCUGCAGCGUAGAUCCUUCGGGGUUAGAUACAUUUGUGCUAAGUUAUAGCCUUUUCAUAGACAACUUGUUGACUAUGAUCAGUCAUGUAGCUUACUCGCUUAUGCUAUUUUACCUACGCUUAGGAUGUUGAUGUGAUACUGCGAGCA